GACGAACGCUGGCGGCGUGCUUAACACAUGCAAGUCGAACGGAAAGGCCCUGCUUUUGUGGGGUGCUAGAGUGGCGAACGGGUGAGUAACACGUGAGUAACCUGCCCUUGACUUUGGGAUAACUUCAGGAAACUGGGGAUAAUACCGGAUAGGAGCUCCUGCUGCAUGGGGGGGGUUGGAAAGUUUCGGCGGAUGGGGAUGGACUCGCGGCUUACCAGCUUGUUGGGGGGGUAGUGGCUUACCAAGGCUUUGACGGGUAGCCGGCCUGGGAGGUGGACCGGCCACAUUGGGACUGCGGUACGGCCCAGACUCCUACGGGAGGCAGCAGUGGGGAAUAUUGCACAAUGGGCGGAAGCCUGAUGCAGCGACGCCGCGUGCGGGAUGACGGCCUUCGGGUUGUAAACCGCUUUCGCCUGUGACGAAGCGUGAGUGACGGUAAUGGGUAAAGAAGCACCGGCUAACUACGUG
This 468-nucleotide ribosomal RNA is filed under the name uncultured bacterium. RNAcentral's name for it is "partial 16S ribosomal RNA". It matches the Rfam family "Bacterial small subunit ribosomal RNA", at positions 28 to 507 of the family's 1533-position model. The record is from RNAcentral.